UUGUCCUCCUUCAGUCUCUUUCUCCACCACCGCCCGGCACGCUCUGCUGAUCUAAAAUCAGAGCAAUUAGUAAUGAAUUCUCUGGAACAGCAACUCCUACAGACACUCAAGCUCUGCCCUCGCGCCAGCGCCUCCCAGCCCUCUCCCAGCAACCAGAUCCUGCCUCAACAACGGACCGUGUCCAUUUAACGGAGGAAAAGCCCCACCACUCAUGGUGUUUAAGGCUGGCCGUGCCCCAGGACCAAACGUUCCUGCUCCCAAAGCGAGAGGCAUGGUGAUAGGGCACCACUACACAGAGGUGGGUCCCCCCGUGCCUGAGCCUUCCCCUGAGAAAAGGUGAGUCUUUUUCUUUUAAAUUCUGUA
This 363-nucleotide long non-coding RNA is filed under the name Rhinolophus ferrumequinum (greater horseshoe bat). RNAcentral describes it as "lncRNA (ENSRFEG00010008017.1)". The record is from RNAcentral. Lineage: Eukaryota; Metazoa; Chordata; Mammalia; Chiroptera; Rhinolophidae.